Molecule: ribosomal RNA, 492 nt
Filed under: uncultured bacterium
Lineage: Bacteria
Description: partial 16S ribosomal RNA
Rfam family: Bacterial small subunit ribosomal RNA
Source: RNAcentral
AGUGAACGCUGGCGGUAGGCCUAACACAUGCAAGUCGAACGGCAGCACAGUAAGAGCUUGCUCUUACGGGUGGCGAGUGGCGGACGGGUGAGGAAUACAUCGGAAUCUACUUUUUCGUGGGGGAUAACGUAGGGAAACUUACGCUAAUACCGCAUACGACCUACGGGUGAAAGCAGGGGAUCUUCGGACCUUGCGCGAUUGAAUGAGCCGAUGUCGGAUUAGCUAGUUGGCGGGGUAAAGGCCCACCAAGGCGACGAUCCGUAGCUGGUCUGAGAGGAUGAUCCGCCACACUGGAACUGAGACACGGUCCAGGCUCCUACGGGAGGCAGCAGUGGGGAAUAUUGGACAAUGGGCGCAAGCCUGAUCCAGCCAUACCGCGUGGGUGAAGAAGGCCUUCGGGUUGUAAAGCCCUUUUGUUGGGAAAGAAAAGCAGCAGGUUAAUACCCCGCUGUUCUGACGGUACCCAAAGAAUAAGCACCGGCUAACUUCGUG